This is a long non-coding RNA of Frankliniella occidentalis (western flower thrips), 471 nucleotides long. RefSeq lists it as uncharacterized. The transcript is spliced from 2 exons. The record is from RefSeq and is a predicted model, not a curated record. NCBI's taxonomy places the organism in Eukaryota, Metazoa, Arthropoda, Insecta, Thysanoptera, Thripidae.
CCCCUUUACUUAUUUUCUUUCUAUUUAUCACAUCCUAUGAUAAUGUCCUCCAGAUCCUGGCUGCCAAGUCCACUCCGAGUCCCAUAGCGCGCAGGAGCUACAAGCCGGCCGCCUACUACCAAGGACAGGGACAGGAGCAGCAAGGAUCACCGUUCGGUCCCACCCAGCAACAGCAACAAAUUCAACCAGCGGUGCAGCAAGGGAAGUUAAGCUCACAGAAUCCUUCUGAAGCCGCCCUCCUGUACCAGCUGCGUCACCACCAUCACAACCGUCAGCCGUACUGGUGGAAUUAACUGAGAUUUUAUUGUUUUCCUGUUGCUAUUUACAAAUUAGUGUCAAGUGCAGGCCAUCCUUUAAGUGAGGGUGCAAGAGUGUGAAUCUAGUCAACAAGUAUCCCUGAUUUGGUUUCUGAAAGCCCCCUAAUGUACACAGUGCAAUAUGAAAAUAAAUCUCACAGGAAUUAAGACCAAA